AGGUUGGCUAACUAACGAUGGAAACUAGGAAACACAUCGUUUCAAGAUGUGAAUCCGGGGGUUCGAAUCCCCGCCAGCUCA
This 81-nucleotide transfer RNA is filed under the name Tectaria panamensis. Its description in RNAcentral is "tRNA-Arg". The record is from RNAcentral. Lineage: Eukaryota; Viridiplantae; Streptophyta; Polypodiopsida; Polypodiales; Tectariaceae.